UUGGCCCUGAAUCAAGGCCAGCUAUUUGCUGAAACUGUUAGUUUCAAGCAGGGGCCUAAAGAAACGUCUUUCUGUGGUCUGUUGGCCAUUUCAGAACUUUGAAAAUGUAGUAGUCAGUUCAGUGGAAAGAAAGAUGU
RNAcentral lists this small nucleolar RNA (137 nucleotides) under Castor canadensis (American beaver). The record is from RNAcentral. Lineage: Eukaryota; Metazoa; Chordata; Mammalia; Rodentia; Castoridae.